This 377-nucleotide unclassified non-coding RNA is filed under the name plant metagenome. RNAcentral's name for it is "partial contains 5.8S ribosomal RNA, internal transcribed spacer 2, and large subunit ribosomal RNA". The stretch from base 1 to 104 matches the Rfam family "5.8S ribosomal RNA", at positions 51 to 154 of the family's 154-position model. The record is from RNAcentral.
AAAUGCGAUAAGUAAUGUGAAUUGCAGAAUUCAGUGAAUCAUCGAAUCUUUGAACGCACCUUGCGCUCCUUGGUAUUCCUUGGAGAAUGCCUGUUUGAGUAUCAUGAAAUCUUCAAAGUAAAUCUUUUGUUAACUCAAUUGGUUUCUACUUUGGUAUUGGAGGUCUUUGCAGCUUCACACCUGCUCCUCUUUGUUCAUUAGCUGGAUCUCAGUGUUAUGCUUGGUUCCACUCGGCGUGAUAAGUUAUCUAUCGCUGAGGACACUGUAAAAGGUGGCCAAGGUAAAUGCAGAUGAACCGCUUCUAAUAGUCCAUUGACUUGGACAAUACUUUUAUGAUCUGAUCUCAAAUCAGGUAGGACUACCCGCUGAACUUAAGC